CCACUUUAAUACCGAGCAAUUCUAUACUACUAUAGAACCUUUUAUGUUAAAACUAGUAACAAGAAGACCCCUUCUCUUUAAUGCAAGCGUAACUCAGCCAGGAAAACCCACUGACAAUUAACACCUAUGAGCCUGCAGUAGAAACAUCACAAGAAAACCCUACUUUUCUCUAUGUUAACCUAACACAAGAGCAUUACAAGAAAGAUUAAAAGAAAAAGAAGGAACUCGGCAAACAUUAACCCCGCCUGUUUACCAAAAACAUCGCCUCUUGACAAAACUAUAGGAGGUCCAGCCUGCCCAGUGACUCUGUUCAACGGCCGCGGUAUCCUAACCGUGCGAAGGUAGCGUAAUCACUUGUUCUUUAAAUGAGGACUAGUAUGAAUGGCAUCACGAAGGUUAUACUGUCUCCUUUUUCUAAUCAGUGAAACUAAUCUCUCCGUGAAGAAGCGGGGAUAAUAAUAUAAGACGAGAAGACCCUAUGGAGCUUUAAACUAAAUAGCAUUUGCUUUUAUAUGCAUCCUUCUUCAGAGAAAUUAACACUUACUUAAGCUUACUGACUAUUAGUUUUGGGUUGGGGUGACCGCGGAGCACAAAACAACCUCCACGUUGGAUGGGGCUACCCCCUGAGCUAAGAGCUACAACUCUAAGCACCAAUAAAUUGACAUUAAUUGACCCAAUAUAUUGAUCAACGAACCAAGUUACCCUAGGGAUAACAGCGCAAUCCGUUUCAAGAGCCCCUAUCGACAAACGGGUUUACGACCUCGAUGUUGGAUCAGGGUAUCCCAGUGGUGCAGCCGCUACUAAAGGUUCGUUUGUUCAACGAUU
This 825-nucleotide ribosomal RNA is filed under the name Leptodactylus fragilis. RNAcentral's name for it is "partial 16S ribosomal RNA". It matches the Rfam family "Bacterial large subunit ribosomal RNA", at positions 1508 to 2589 of the family's 2925-position model. Lineage: Eukaryota; Metazoa; Chordata; Amphibia; Anura; Leptodactylidae. The record is from RNAcentral.